UAAAAUUUGGUUUGUUUUAAAAUUUUCUCGAAUUUGAGGGAGCUAAGAAUUUAUUUAUAUUAAUGUUGAAUAAUUAUUUUAUAUAAAUUCUUUGAAAUUAGACGUUAGUCGUUCUUGAGGAUAUCUGGUUUUUUUAGAAAUUAAUUUAAUUAAGCUGGUAGUAAAUAAUUUUUUUUGAAAAGAUUAAUGUUUAUACUGAGUAAUAUUUAAGGGGAUAAGCUUUUAAAUAAAAUAUUAUAAUAAUUUAUAAUUAAAGGGUUAAUAGGAAUAGAAGUUUUCAUUUUUUAGAGUGUUUUAUAACAAAAUUUUUGUUUUUUGGAUUUAUUAAUUAUUUAGGUUUUUUAUUGAAAUAUUAAAUUUAAUUUGUAUUUUUAAGUAAUUAUGAUAAAAUUAGUAUAUUUUUGAGUGGAAAUAAUUUUAUAAGGUAAGGUUAAAUUAAGGAAUUCGGCAAAUUAACUUUUUGCCUGUUUAUUAAAAACAUGGCUUUUUGUUAAUAAUUUAAGGUCGGGCCUGCCCAAUGAUUUGUUUAAUGGCCGCGGUACUCUGACCGUGCAAAGGUAGCAUAAUCAUUAGUUUUUUAAUUGAAAGCUGGAAUGAACGGUUUGACAAGAAAGUGACUGUCUUUAUUUAAUUUGAUUAGAAUUUUAUUUUUUGGUUAGAAAGCCAAAAUUGAUUUGGGGGACGAGAAGACCCUAUAGAAUUUUAUAUAUUUUUGGUGAUUAGGUUUUUAGAUUUAUUAAUUUUGUUUUUUAAAAUUUAUUUUGUUGGGGUGAUAGAAAAAUUUAAUAAACUUUUUUUUAAGAAUAAUUUCAUUAAUGUAUGAUUUGUUGAUCCAUAAAGUGUGAUUAUAAGAUUAAAUUACCUUAGGGAUAACAGCGUUAUUAAUUUGGAGAGUUCAUAUCGAUAAAUUAGUUUGCGACCUCGAUGUUGGAUUAAAAUGAACUUUUGGUGUAGAGGCUGAAAGGUUAAGUCUGUUCGACUUUUAAAAUUUU
Molecule: ribosomal RNA, 992 nt
Filed under: Eulepidius luridus
Lineage: Eukaryota; Metazoa; Arthropoda; Insecta; Coleoptera; Lucanidae
Description: partial 16S ribosomal RNA
Rfam family: Archaeal large subunit ribosomal RNA (bases 419-668)
Source: RNAcentral